This 381-nucleotide ribosomal RNA is filed under the name uncultured eukaryote. Its description in RNAcentral is "partial 18S ribosomal RNA". It matches the Rfam family "Eukaryotic small subunit ribosomal RNA", at positions 592 to 975 of the family's 1831-position model. The record is from RNAcentral.
CAAUAGCGUAUACUAAAGUUGUUGCAGUUAAAAAGCUCGUAGUUGAAUUUCUGGAUGUGAAAGGUGGUCGGCACCUCACGGUGUCUGCACCUACCAUUCGCGUCCAUCCUCGGGAGGAACAUGUGGACACUUUAGUGGGUCUGCAUGGGAAUCUCGUCAUUUACUGUGAGCAAAAUAGAGUGUUCAAAGCAGGCUUACGCCGUUGAAUAUAUUAGCAUGGAAUAAUAAGAUACGACUUUGGUCUAUUUUGUUGGUUUGCAUUCCAAAGUAAUGAUUAAUAGGGAUAGUUGGGGGUAUUCGUAUUCAAUUGUCAGAGGUGAAAUUCUUGGAUUUGUUAAAGACUAACUUAUGCGAAAGCAUUUGCCAAGGAUGUUUUCAUUA